AGAGUUUGAUCCUGGCUCAGAAUCAACGCUGGCGGCAUGCCUAACACAUGCAAGUCGAACGCGAAAGUGGCUUCGGCCGCGAGUAGAGUGGCAAACGGGUGAGUAACGCGUGGGUGACCUGCCUUCGAGUGGGGGAUAACGUUUCGAAAGGAACGCUAAUACCGCAUAACAUCCUGUCCUUGAACGGAUGGAGAUCAAAGCCGGGGAUCGCAAGACCUGGCGCUUGGAGAGGGGCCCGCGUCCGAUUAGCUAGUUGGUGAGGUAACGGCCCACCAAGGCGACGAUCGGUAGCCGGCCUGAGAGGGCGGACGGCCACACUGGGACUGAGACACGGCCCAGACUUCUACGGGAGGCAGCAGUGGGGAAUUGUUCGCAAUGGGCGCAAGCCUGACGACGCAAUGCCGCGUGGAGGACGAAGAUUUUCGGAUCGUAAACUCCUGUCGAGCGGGACGAACGGCCUGGGGGCUAACAUCCUCUGGGAGUGACGGUACCGCUAAAGGAAGCCCCGGCUAACUCCGUGCCAGCAGCCGCGGUAAUACGGGGGGGGCAAGCGUUGUUCGGAAUUACUGGGCGUAAAGGGCGCGUAGGCGGCCUUCUAAGUCGGACGUGAAAUCCCUCGGCUUAACCGGGGAACUGCGUCCGAUACUGGAGGGCUUGGAUCCGGGAGAGGGAUGCGGAAUUCCAGGUGUAGCGGUGAAAUGCGUAGAUAUCUGGAGGAACACCGGUGGCGAAGGCGGCAUCCUGGACCGGCAUCGACGCUGAGGCGCGAAAGCCAGGGGAGCAAACGGGAUUAGAUACCCC
Molecule: ribosomal RNA, 801 nt
Filed under: uncultured bacterium
Lineage: Bacteria
Description: bacterial SSU rRNA
Rfam family: Bacterial small subunit ribosomal RNA
Source: RNAcentral